UAGAAAAACGCGGGAAACCUUUGAAUUUGGCGGGCGCGGUUUUUGUUUGAAUUUGUUGAAAAAUAUUUUUUUUUAAUCUAUUAAGUGAUCAGAAUAGUUAAAACUUGUAUAUAUUUGUAAUUUUUAUUAUUAUUUAAAUUUUUUUGUAUUUUAUUCUUUUUUUCUUCGAGUUGGGGUAAGUUUUUUAUAUUUAUAUGAACGAGCCUCCGGACCCGGGGGGCACAGCGCCCCCCGCGGUUGCAUUUGUCACAAUCUCCAACGAAUCCGGAAUGGAUUCUGACUGCUCUUUGGUGUCUAAAAGGAAGCUGAAGCGUAACCAGCUCCACAAAAUUUGUAAAAAUUGUAACAAAAGGAAAAGAAAAAAUAAUACAGAAACAUUUAAACAAUCGGACUGUCAAUGCAAAGACGAAUUUACUGAGAGCACUAUUGAUUUGCCUGCACCUGGUCCUUGCACUGAUACAUCUUCAAAGCCCGUUCCUCCCACUGAUAUGUCUCAUAAAGCCUCCACACAAAUUGGUAGGGCUAGUUAUGAUGCCAAUGACCACGGCCCGUUUGUGGUACACGUGCAGAAAAUACAGUCUGCUGAUGAUGAUGGUACAACAUUACACCCAGUUGUGUUUGGCAGAUUUUUAAAAAAAAAUUUAUUCAAAAAUAUUGUUAAUGGAAGUUUGAAACGUAUUGGCCGAAAUAAAAUGACACUUUCUUUUAAUAAUUAUACAGACGCUAACAGCUUUGUCACUUCAAACUGCUUAGCUACAAACAACAUGAAGGCUUUUAUUCCAACUUUUAACAUUACGAGGAUGGGUUUAGUUAGGGGAGUCCCAACUGAGUGGUCCCCUGAAGAUAUUAUGCAGAACACUAAUGUACCCAUUGGGUGUGGGGAAAUUCUGAAAAUUAGAAGACUAAACUAUAAAGUCAUGAUAAACAACACACCCACAUGGAAACCUUCGCAAACAGUCGUGUUUACAUUUGAUGGACAAGUUUUGCCCAAACGUGUAUUUAUGUGUUAUAAUUCUAUGCCUGUUAAAUUGUAUAUAUACCCAACCAUCCAGUGCUUUAAUUGUUGCCGCUUUGGGCACACCAAGGUCCAAUGUAGGUCAAAGCCCAGGUGCUUCAAGUGUGGUCAGGGCCACACUGGAGAUACUUGUAAUGUGGAGGAAGACUGUGUAUCUUGCUGCUUAUGUUCUGGGCUGCACUUUGCUUCGAGCAAAAAGUGUCCAGAGUACGUGAGACAAACAGAUAUUAAAGUAACAAUGGCAGAGAAUAGCUUAUCCUAUAUUGAAGCGUCAAAAUUACAUCCCCCCAUUUCUAAAUCAUUUGCUGAUAUUGUAUCCUCUCUCCCAACUAAAUCUGUUCCUGGUGGAAAUACAGUAUUGCCUGGUUCACCAUCCUCACGUACAAUAUCUUAUAAAAAAACAGUCUUCACUAAACCCAGAACUCCUCCUCAACACAGUAAAGGUUUUGAUCAUGUAGCACAUGAGUCUCUUGUAAGGGACUACAAUAUGCCAGAGCCUUCUAAUGGAUGUGCAUUACCAUCCUCGUCUAAUGCAAAUUCACAACAGACAAUAGCAGAGUUAAUUACUAUAUUGAUCAAAUUACUUUCUGAACCCAAUUUAUCUAUACCGUCCCACGCUGCUAAUUUAAUUCGUACUUAUACUAAUAUUAAUAAUGGCCAACAUGGACAAGUUAGUUCAAUGGAAUUGCCGCAGUAUUAUAAACAAAAAGCAUGAAAUUAUACAUAUUAUAAAUACUUUUAAUCCUUUUAUAUUUUCUCUAUCUGAAACCUGGCUAAAGCCAGAUUUUGUAUUCAAAAUCCCUGGUUAUUCGUGCUUAAGAGAAGACAGGGCUGAUGGAUAUGGUGGUGUAUGCCUACUCAUCAGAAACUCUAGCACCUUUUCUUCCUUCCCUCUCCCUUCACAUAGUAACUGCUUUUCUGUCAUUGCAGCUAUUGUUGAUGGUAUCUGUUUUGUCUCUAUCUAUGUCCCUCAUCCCUCCUUGCAAAUCUUCAAUGAAAUUAAAAACUUAAUUUCAGUUCUUCCUCGGCCUUUCAUGAUUCUGGGUGAUUUCAACUCUCAUCACACAUCUUGGGGUAGUUCAGUAUCUAAUAGUUAUGGUUAUGAAUUAUUAGAUAUCUUAGACAUGUAUAGCCUGUGCAUUUUAAACUCGGGUUCUCCUACUCGCCUCACAAAGCCUGGUGAAGUAAUUAGUGCCAUUGACCUGUCCAUUUGUACUCCCCAGUUAGCAUCUUCUCUAUCUUGGUCUACUUUGUGUUCCACUUAUAAUAGUGAUCACUAUCCCAUAAUCAUUUCAUUUCCCUGUAAAAAAAAGGAUACAAUGUGUAUUCAAAACUCUCGCCUCAAACACAAAAUCAUAGACUCUAAAUGGAGUCAAUACACAUUAUUAAUAGAAGAGAAAAUUAAUAAUUGCUCAGAAGUUAAUGUCAUAGAUAAUAAUUAUUUCAAAGCUAUUUUGUUAGAAUCGGCUGAUAAUGUUUUUCCAAAGAAAAAGCCGCGUAGUAAUAAGUUGUCAUCUCCACCGUGGUGGGAUGAAGAAUGUACCAAUGCUAUAAAGAAACGCAAGGCAGCAGAGCGUAAUUAUCGCAAUAAUAUGUCUAUGAAAAACUACGAGGCAUUAAUGACUAUAAUGAAAGAGGUUAGAAAACUAUUUAAAAAAAAGAAAUUUGACGGGUGGAGGAAAUUUUGUAGCACUAUAUCACCUGAAACACAUGCUACUGUCAUAUGGCGAAAUAUCAAAAGAUUUAGAUCAGCUGUCAAUCCUUCUAACGCAUUGUUGCUGCCUAUAGAAUUAGCAGAUCAAUUCCUUGAUCGUUUGGCUCCUCCUUCUGCUCCACUCAACGAUCCUAUCCUGUCUUAUAAGCAAUAUAACUCUGAUGCCCCUUCUUCUCUAAAUCUAACUUUUACGUUAGUGGAGUUAAAAGGUGUAUUAAAUCACGUCAAAGACAGUGCUCCAGGGGAAGAUGGGAUUCCAUAUUCCUUUUUGUCUCACCUUGGCGAAAAAGGAUUAAAUUACUUUUUAAAUUUAAUAAAUAAAAUUUUACUGACAGGUGACAUUCCACCGUCAUGGCGAAGUCAAAUAGUAUUGCCAUUUUUAAAGCCGUCUAAGGUACAAUCUGAUAUCAAAUCAUAUCGUCCGAUAGUUUUGUCAUCGGUGAUCACAAAAGUUGUUGAACAUUUAAUUAAAAAUCGGCUUGAAUGGUAUAUAGAAAAUAACGAAUAUCUGUCCCAAACUCAGUUUGGAUUUCGAAAAGGUAAAAGUGUGGGGGACAAUUUAGGCAUAUUAGUUACGGAUAUUCGUAAUGCUUUCUCAGAUAAAAAGUCAGUAGUUGCUGCUUUUUUGGAUAUUAAUUCGGCUUAUGAUAACGUUCUAUUACAUAUUCUAAAAAGUAAAUUAGAUAAAUUAAAGGUUCCCUAUUUUUUAACUAAUUCCAUUGUAAAUCUUCUUUCGGAGAGGAAAAUUAUUUUAGAUGUUGGCGGCCCUUAUAAGCCUAGUAGGCUGGUAUGGAGAGGUUUGCCACAGGGGUCUGUUCUGAGUCCUUUAUUGUACAAUAUUUAUACAUAUGAUCUAGAAGGUUCAGUCGGAGAUUCAGCAAGUUUAUUACAGUAUGCCGAUGACUUGGUUAUUUAUGCCUCUGAUAUGUCUGUAAGUACUGCUGAACGAUAUGUUUCCUCCUCUUUAUCUUUGCUAAAAAUCUGGAUGGAUGCAAAUGGCCUUGAUCUGUCUCCCUCAAAAAGUACUGUUGUACUUUUCACCAAAUCCCGUACUCCUUGCUCACUUAAUAUAACAUAUGAUGGGGAUAUAUUACCUAUUAGGAAUCAAGUUAAGUUCUUAGGAGCUAUUCUUGAUUCUAAACUAACGGGUCAACCACACUGCGAAUUUGUGGUUAGUAAAUGUGAGCGAAACUUGAACAUGCUGAGAUGUCUCGGUGGGGUUUGGUGGGGUGCUCACCCGGCUACACUGAGGUUGGUGUAUAAUGCUGUCAUUAGAAGUGUACUGGAUUUUGGGACCUUUUUCUUAGACCCAGGUAAUGUGGCUGGCUUUAGAAAACUAGAUCUCAUACAGUCUAGGGCUUUGAGGAUUGUUUCUGGUGCCAUGAAAUCGAGUCCGGUUAAUGCUCUGCAAAUAGAAUGUUGUGACCCUCCUUUAAACUUAAGACGUCAAUAUCUGUCCGAUAGAUUCAUUUUUAGAAUUGUUCAGUUCCAUAAUCAUCCCCUCAUUUCGAAACUAGAGUUUCUUUCUAAAAAAGUACCCUCUUCACAUAAACCUUUACCUUGUCUGUUAAAAAGUUUCCUGAAAUUCAAACAAUUACAAGCCCCAACUCAUUCUUUUCAGGUGCUUCCUUUAUUUGGCGCUUCUUAUGAUUCUCUCUUACUUUCUCCAGUGAUUUGCUUUUCUCUUGGCAUUGAAAAAUCUGAUUUUAAUGCCAAUGAAAAUUUUAAUUGCAAUGUCAAUAGUAAAUGGCCUAACUGGCAUCAAAUUUAUACAGAUGCAUCUAAACACUCCAGUGGGUGUGUUGGUGUUGGAGUGUAUCACAAACAGUACAACAUAGUUCAGAAAAUUAAAUUACCUCCGGAAUCAUCGGUCUUUACCGGUGAAUGUUUUGGACUAUUAAAAGCUCUUGAAUAUGUGCUGUCUUUCAAACUAAAAAAAACCGUUGUAUUUACUGAUUCCUUAAGUGCAUUACAGAGCUUAGCAAAAUUUUCACUAAAACUUAACCCUUUUUUUCAUGUAAUAUUUGAAUGUAAGAGAAAGCUGUUGCACUGCCAAUCACACAACUAUUUAGUAUCAUUUUGUUGGGUACCUAGUCACUGUGGCAUAUCUGGAAAUGUGAAAGCUGACAGUUUGGCCAACAGUGCUACUGUGACCGGUGACGUAUACCCGUACAAGAAUUUUGGCCAUGAUCUUGCUGCUUUGCCCGGCAUAUGCCUCCACAAAUCGUGGAAUAUGUGUUGGGAAGAGAGCGGCCGGAUUAAGGGUCGUUUCUUGUAUGCUAUACAGUCUUCCGUUCCCAGGAAGCCAUGGUUUGCCAAAUUGUCGUUUGGUAAAGCCGCCACUUCUACUAUAAUUCGUAUGCGUCUGGGACAUAACAGCCUUCCAGUUCAUUUGCACAAACUUGGUAUCGUAACUAGUACCGCCUUUUCCUUCGUUUUUUAUUAUUUAUAAACUGUAAAUAAAUAAAACGGCGAAUUAUAAAAACGUUAUUACUUGACGCUGGCUAAUGCACAAAACGUGCCAGAGCCAAAAAUAAAGAAGAAGAAGAAGAAGAAUAAAGUAGGUAGUGAUUUGAAAUUUGAUAAUUGUAAUACAAACAUGGCAUCCAAAGAAGGAGGUGAAAAGUCAAAAACAUUGUUUUUAGGGCAGCCAAGUAACAGGAGAUAAUAAAGAAAA
Molecule: RNA transcript, 5406 nt
Organism: Bombyx mori (domestic silkworm)
Lineage: Eukaryota; Metazoa; Arthropoda; Insecta; Lepidoptera; Bombycidae
Source: RefSeq, marked provisional